Molecule: transfer RNA, 69 nt
Filed under: Pygmaeocidaris prionigera
Lineage: Eukaryota; Metazoa; Echinodermata; Echinoidea; Arbacioida; Arbaciidae
Description: tRNA-Ala
Rfam family: tRNA
About the family: Transfer RNA (tRNA) molecules are approximately 80 nucleotides in length. Their secondary structure includes four short double-helical elements and three loops (D, anti-codon, and T loops).
Source: RNAcentral
GUGGUUCUAGUUUAAGCAAAAUACCUGCUUUGCAAGCAGAAGCUCUGAGUUAGAUUCUCGGGAACUACA